AGAGUUUGAUCGUGGCUCAGAAUCAACGCUGGCGGCGUGCCUAACACAUGCAAGUCGAACGCGGUUUUCCCGCAAGGGAAAACUGAGUGGCGAACGGGUGAGUAACACGUGGGUGACCUACCUUCGAGUGGGGGAUAACGUCCCGAAAGGGACGCUAAUACCGCAUAACAUCCUGCUCUUGAACGAGCGGAGAUCAAAGCCGGGGAUCGCAAGACCUGGCGCUUGAUGAGGGGCCCGCGUCCGAUUAGCUAGUUGGUGAGGUAAUGGCUCACCAAGGCAACGAUCGGUAGCCGGCCUGAGAGGGCGGACGGCCACACUGGGACUGAGACACGGCCCAGACUCCUACGGGAGGCAGCAGUGGGAAUUGUUCGCAAUGGGCGCAAGCCUGACGACGCAACGCCGCGUGGAGGAUGAAGGUCUUCGGAUUGUAAACUCCUGUUGCCAGGGACGAAUGGCCACG
This 460-nucleotide ribosomal RNA is filed under the name uncultured Acidobacteriota bacterium. RNAcentral describes it as "bacterial SSU rRNA". It matches the Rfam family "Bacterial small subunit ribosomal RNA", at positions 8 to 457 of the family's 1533-position model. Lineage: Bacteria; Pseudomonadati; Acidobacteriota. The record is from RNAcentral.